CCCUUAGAGUUUGAUCCUGGCUCAGGACGAACGCUGGCGGCAUGCCUAACACAUGCAAGUCGAACGGAGAUUAUUUCGAUAAUCUUAGUGGCGAACGGGUGAGUAACGCGCGGGCAACCUGCCCUCUAGAUGGGGACAACAUCCCGAAAGGGGUGCUAAUACCGAAUGUGACAGCAAUCUCGCAUGAGGAUGCUGUGAAAGAUGGCCUCUAUUUAUAAGCUAUCGCUAGAGGAUGGGCCUGCGUCUGAUUAGCUAGUUGGUGGGGUAACGGCCUACCAAGGCGAUGAUCAGUAGCCGGUCUGAGAGGAUGAACGGCCACAUUGGGACUGAGACACGGCCCAGACUCCUACGGGAGGCAGCAGUGGGGAAUCUUCCGCAAUGGGCGAAAGCCUGACGGAGCAAUGCCGCGUGAGUGAUGAAGGAAUUCGUUCCGUAAAGCUCUUUUGUUUAUGACGAAUGUGCAGAUUGUGA
Molecule: ribosomal RNA, 471 nt
Filed under: uncultured bacterium
Lineage: Bacteria
Description: bacterial SSU rRNA
Rfam family: Bacterial small subunit ribosomal RNA
Source: RNAcentral